This 253-nucleotide ribosomal RNA is filed under the name uncultured bacterium. Its description in RNAcentral is "partial 16S ribosomal RNA". It matches the Rfam family "Bacterial small subunit ribosomal RNA", at positions 524 to 776 of the family's 1533-position model. The record is from RNAcentral.
UACGGAGGGGGCUAGCGUUGUUCGGAAUUACUGGGCGUAAAGCGCACGUAGGCGGCGCGACAAGUCAGAGGUGAAAGCCCGGGGCUCAACCCCGGAACUGCCUUUGAAACUAGAUAGCUAGAAUCUUGGAGAGGUCAGUGGAAUUCCGAGUGUAGAGGUGAAAUUCGUAGAUAUUCGGAAGAACACCAGUGGCGAAGGCGACUGACUGGACAAGUAUUGACGCUGAGGUGCGAAAGCGUGGGGAGCAAACAGG